AGCCCUUCGGGGUGGAUUAGUGGCGAACGGGUGAGUAACACGUGGGCAAUCUGCCCUGCACUCUGGGACAAGCCCUGGAAACGGGGUCUAAUACCGGAUACGAGCCUCCCGGGCAUCUGGGAGGUUGGAAAGCUCCGGCGGUGCAGGAUGAGCCCGCGGCCUAUCAGCUUGUUGGUGAGGUAACGGCUCACCAAGGCGACGACGGGUAGCCGGCCUGAGAGGGCGACCGGCCACACUGGGACUGAGACACGGCCCAGACUCCUACGGGAGGCAGCAGUGGGGAAUAUUGCACAAUGGGCGAAAGCCUGAUGCAGCGACGCCGCGUGAGGGAUGACGGCCUUCGGGUUGUAAACCUCUUUCAGCAGGGAAGAAGCGAAAGUGACGGUACCUGCAGAAGAAGCGCCGGCUAACUACGUGCCAGCAGCCGCGGUAAUACGUAGGGCGCAAGCGUUGUCCGGAAUUAUUGGGCGUAAAGAGCUCGUAGGCGGCUUGUCGCGUCGAUUGUGAAAGCCCGGGGCUUAACUCCGGGUCUGCAGUCGAUACGGGCAGGCUAGAGUGUGGUAGGGGAGAUCGGAAUUCCUGGUGUAGCGGUGAAAUGCGCAGAUAUCAGGAGGAACACCGGUGGCGAAGGCGGAUCUCUGGGCCAUUACUGACGCUGAGGAGCGAAAGCGUGGGGAGCGAACAGGAUUAGAUACCCUGGUAGUCCACGCCGUAAACGGUGGGCACUAGGUGUUGGCGACAUUCCACGUCGUCGGUGCCGCAGCUAACGCAUUAAGUGCCCCGCCUGGGGAGUACGGCCGCA
RNAcentral lists this ribosomal RNA (802 nucleotides) under Actinomycetes bacterium. RNAcentral describes it as "bacterial SSU rRNA". It matches the Rfam family "Bacterial small subunit ribosomal RNA", at positions 74 to 890 of the family's 1533-position model. Lineage: Bacteria; Bacillati; Actinomycetota; Actinomycetes. The record is from RNAcentral.